RNAcentral lists this ribosomal RNA (254 nucleotides) under uncultured bacterium. Its description in RNAcentral is "partial 16S ribosomal RNA". It matches the Rfam family "Bacterial small subunit ribosomal RNA", at positions 524 to 776 of the family's 1533-position model. The record is from RNAcentral.
UACGUAGGGUGCAAGCGUUAAUCGGAAUUACUGGGCGUAAAGCGUGCGCAGGCGGCUUUGCAAGACAGAUGUGAAAUCCCCGGGCUUAACCUGGGAACUGCAUUUGUGACUGCAUGGCUGGAGUGCGGCAGAGGGGGAUGGAAUUCCGCGUGUAGCAGUGAAAUGCGUAGAUAUGCGGAGGAACACCGAUGGCGGAAGGCAAUCCCCUGGGCCUGCACUGACGCUCAUGCACGAAAGCGUGGGGAGCAAACAGG